CUACGUGCCAGCAGCCGCGGUAAUACGUAGGUGGCAAGCGUUGUCCGGAAUUAUUGGGCGUAAAGCGCGCGCAGGCGGAUUGGUCAGUCUGUCUUAAAAGUUCGGGGCUUAACCCCGUGAUGGGAUGGAAACUGCCAAUCUAGAGUAUCGGAGAGGAAAGUGGAAUUCCUAGUGUAGCGGUGAAAUGCGUAGAUAUUAGGAAGAACACCAGUGGCGAAGGCGACUUUCUGGACGAAAACUGACGCUGAGGCGCGAAAGCCAGGGGAGCGAACGGGAUUAGAUACCCCGGUAGUCCUGGCCGUAAACGAUGGGUACUAGGUGUAGGAGGUAUCGACCCCUUCUGUGCCGGAGUUAACGCAAUAAGUACCCCGCCUGGGGAGUACGACCGCAAGGUUGAAACUCAAAGGAAUUGACGGGGGCCCGCACAAGCGGAGGAACAUGUGGUUUAAUUCGAUGAUACGCGAGGAACCUUACCCGGGCUUGA
RNAcentral lists this ribosomal RNA (484 nucleotides) under uncultured bacterium. RNAcentral's name for it is "bacterial SSU rRNA". It matches the Rfam family "Bacterial small subunit ribosomal RNA", at positions 501 to 984 of the family's 1533-position model. The record is from RNAcentral.